RNAcentral lists this ribosomal RNA (498 nucleotides) under uncultured bacterium. RNAcentral's name for it is "partial 16S ribosomal RNA". It matches the Rfam family "Bacterial small subunit ribosomal RNA", at positions 30 to 523 of the family's 1533-position model. The record is from RNAcentral.
AUUGUACGCUGGCGGCAUGCCUUACACAUGCAAGUCGAACGGUAACAGGUCUUCGGAUGCUGACGAGUGGCGAACGGGUGAGUAAUACAUCGGAACGUGCCUAGUAGUGGGGGUUAACUACUCGAAAGAGUGGCUAAUACCGCAUGAGAUCUACGGAUGAAAGCAGGGGAUCGCAAGACCUUGUGCUACUAGAGCGGCCGAGGGCAGAUUAGGUAGUUGGUGGGAUAAAAGCUUACCAAGCCGACGAUCUGUAGCUGGUCUGAGAGGCCGAUCAGCCACACUGGGACGGAGACACGGCCCAGACUCCUACGGGAGGCAGCAGUGGGGAAUUUUGGACAAUGGGCGAAAGCCUGAUCCAGCAAUGCCGCGUGCAGGAUGAAGGCCUUCGGGUUGUAAACUGCUUUUGUACGGAACGAAAAGCCCCGGGUUAAUACCCUGGGGUCAUGACGGUACCGUAAGAAUAAGCACCGGCUAACUACGAGCCAGCCGCCGCCGUAA